This is a non-coding RNA of Podarcis lilfordi (Lilford's wall lizard), 6396 nucleotides long. Lineage: Eukaryota; Metazoa; Chordata; Lepidosauria; Squamata; Lacertidae. The record is from the annotation of a GenBank genome assembly.
UGUCAGCUCAGCAACCUGCAGAAUUAUUUAUCUUGGCAACACUGCCUAGAUGGAACGUCUGAAUGGUAAGAACUACCUGACUUGGGCUCUCAAGCAUGAACUGGUUCUAAAAUGUGAUAGACUUUGGCACUGUGUGGAAACUGGUUUGAAUCCACAACCCUCUGAGCAGGAAUGUGAAGAGGAUGAUAGAGCCAGAGCACACAUUUUGUUGGCUCUAGAGGAACCACAUGUCCUGCACAUUGCAGAUUUGGACUCUGCCAAACAAUACUGGGAUCAUCUACAUCAGAUACACCUGUCUGACAGUGCUGGUUCAAAAAUUGGACUAACUAGGAGACUGUAUAGAACUGUGCUACUUGAAGGUGGAUGUUUAACUACACAUCUCCAGACAUUGUGUAUGUUAUUCCUCCAGUUGCAAAGGAGAGGAAAAAGAUUUCCAGACCUGGAUCAAGUCUAUAUCCUGCUAUACAGUCUCCCACCAAGCUUUAAUAUUGUGAUAGCCUCUCUUGAAAGCAUGAGGCAAGAAGAUUUAUCGAUGGUGUACGCAACAACCCGUCUACAGGAGGAAUCUGAAAAACGCGUGGAAAAGCUGAGAAGGCAGACCAGAAGAGUUUGAGUCGCCCUGCUAAGCAGAAACCCAGAUUCUCAGGAGGAGAUGGGACCGAAGAACGCUCCAUGGAUUGUGCCAUGUUGGCAAAGAAAUGCUAUCAGUGUGGCAAGCUCGGGCACAUGAAGAAAGAUUGUCGUGUGAAAAACCAAGGAAAAGCGAGACAGGAAAACGGACACAUUUCGUCUUGGCCGCCGCAAGAAAAGAAAAGAAAAUUUCUCCAGACAGCUACAUUUUGGACUCUGGCUCUGCCAGAAUCAUAAUGAACAGCCUUGACUGCUUUACAACACUCAGCAAAUUGCCAAAAGGCAAGGACAGCAUUUGUUUUGCUGAGGGGCGGCAUUGCCCAAUAUCAGGUAUAGGUACGUGUUAUUUGCCAUGCCUAGAUGCAGAAUUGAGGGAUGUAUUGUUUGUUGAAGAACUAGAAUUUUCUUUAUUGUCAAUUUCAUGCCUUACCAAUGUUGGUUUCGAAUUUAUGUUUGAAGGUGAUGAAUGUUUUAUUAAGAAGCAGGGCAAGGUAAUUGCUUCUACUAAAAUGGUGGACAGCUUGUACCCUUUACAGCAUUCUCCGCCAAGUGAUGGGGUCACAGAGAGACCUAAAGCUGGAAAAAAUGAUGUGUUAAUAACUGAACAGGAUAGGUGGGAAUAGGUUCAUGCCAAUCCUAGUAUUUUAAUUCCUCUCUCAGUACAACCACAGGAGCCCCUCAGGCAGCCAGCUGCUGAGAAAGACUAGAAAGUGGGGAAAAUUUGCCCUGACACUGACACUUUGCAAAGUGCCACAAGCGGUGAAUCAGAGGAAAAACAAAAUGAUGAACUGGAGGAGCAACAAGAGAAGGAAAGCCCAGCGGUUAUUCCUAGGAGGUCCACACGGACUACCAAGGGUAUUCCCCCUGAUAAAUUGACUUUUGGUGCAACAAAAGUGUGUCAUGUUAAUUGUACAGAGCUAUGGGUUUUUGCUCAAGUUCUGAAACUACCUUCCAAGGAACAAACCCAGUGGUUUGACGCCAUGAAAGAAGAGUUGGUAUCAUUCAGCUGACAAGAAAUUGGAAGUAAGUCAUUAUGAUAUUACUUCUGCAUAUCUAAAUGCUCCUCUGGACCAGGUGAUAUACAUGCGACAACCCCCAGGGUUUGAGGAGGGGAAUUAUUUGGUGUGGAAAUUAGACAAAGCUGCCUAUGGUCUUAGGCAAAGUGCUAAAUGCUGGAACGAUUGUAUAAACACACAACUCUUAAAUCUUGGAUUUAAAAGGAGCAUUGCUGACCCUUGCUUGUAUACAAGAGGAUCAGGUGACAAUUACAUAUUGGUUUUGAUCUUUGUAGAUGACUUGAUGGUGGCAGGUAGUUCCACAGGAAAAAUUCAAAAGAUAGCAAAUCAGUUGGAAAAAUAUUUCAAACUGAAAGACCUAGAACCAAUAAGUCACUAUUUAGGGGUCCAAAUAUGCAGAGAAACAGAUGGAAGUUUCUUAAUAUGCCAAGAGCAAAAGAUUAAAGGUCUGCUUGAACAGCUAGAAAUGCAGGAUUGCAAUGCUGUGCAAACCCCUAUGACUGUAGAUUUUCAGAAGACUGAAAGUGAUGUUUUGUUUGAUCAACCAGAUUUAUACCAAUUGGUAAUAGGAUCUCUUCUGUACCUGAGCCAAUGGUCAAGGCCUGAUAUUUCAUUUUGUGUAGGUAUUCUAAGCAGAAAAGCAAGUAAGCCUAGUGUACUUGAUUGGGCUGCUGUGAAGCAAAUACUGAGAUACCUGAAGGGUACACAGAAUAAGUGUAUAAAGUUAUCUGCAUCUAAUUCAAGUUAUUUGCAGGUGUUUGUGGACAGUGACUUUGCAAAUUGUCCAUCCACGAGAAAAUCAACCAGCGGUCUAGUGGUCAUGUUUAGAAAUUCACAAAUUGGUUGGAAAUCCAAAAAGCAAGAUUUUGUUGCCACAUCUAUGUGUGAGGCAGAAUUUUCUGCAUUAUCUGAAGCGUGUAACGAAGUCACAUGGUACAUCCAGGUAUUAAAUGAUUUGGGAUAUGAAGUGCAACAGCCUGUCACAAUCUAUGAGGAUAAUCAAGCUUGUAUCACAAUUGCUAAUUCAGGGAACACUUCAGCACAUGCAAAACACGUGGCCAUCAAAUUUUUCAGUGUUAAAGACUAUAUACAACGUAAUGUGAUUAAGUUGGUUUAUUGUCAAUCACAGGAAAAUUUGUCUGAUUUAUUUACAAAAGCGUUCCCUAGGGUGCAACAUGUUGAACUGAUUGCAAAGCUAAAUCUUGUGGACAAAAUAUAUGAAUAAGUUAAUUUUUCAUGUUUAUACUUAUGCUCUCUAGGUCUUUGGGGGACUGUCAUGUGACAUAGACACAUGAGAGCAGAAGCAGCAAAGCAGGCUGGGAAGUGCUGAGACUGCACAAUCAUUUGGACCUACUAAAGUUAUUCAGGCUUAACUGCUAGCUGUUGAGUCACCCUGACACGUGACUUAGCAGCCAGUUUCUCUUUGUGCUCUCUGUAAGCUUUCAGUCAGUCAUUCUGCCUUAUUUGUGAGCAGAGUCAGUAUGUAAUCUCAGUCAAACUGUUUGGAACCAUGUUGUUUAUGAAGAAGUUUAUUUACUCAGUAAAGCUUUUAUUCUUUAAAACUCUGCAUUAUUAAUUUACGCUGCACGUCAGUUUUGUAUUAGAAUAUUGAGAGACUGAAUUCAUCAAAUGUCCCCAAAUGAUUUCCUCCACCUCAGAUAGUAGCUGUUGAGACUAGGGUUGGUAAUUGCUUCUACAGUGUCUGGUGCCCUCCAUGGAGCCAAUUCAUACCCUACUGAAAUGCUGUGUCAUUUUAGUAACACAAAGCUGGGUCUAGCACCUGAGGGAUUCCAAACACCUUAUUUUCUGUUCAUCAUUCUGCUCUUUAAUUUAUGAAUUAGGCCUGUCCUCUUUCGGCCUGCACUAAAAGUUGCCAACCAGGAUCUAGCAAGAAAGUGAAAGAAGGGAAGCCAUUUUGCUGUUAUGACUGCAUCCUAUGUCCAGAGGGCAAGAUUUCAAACCAGGGAGGUAAGAGACAUAAAUGAUUGCACAGUCAAUUGAACUUAGUUUCCUCACACAUGAUGGGGAUCUAAAUCUAGCAAUGGCUAACAAGCCACCAUAUUUUUUGCUCUAUAAGAUGCACCAGACCAUAAGACGCACCUAGUGUUUGGAGGAAAUCGAGAGAAAAAAUAUUCUGAAUCCCAGAAGCCAGAACAGCAAGAGGGAUCUGGCUUCUGGGACAGCCUCUUGCUGUUCUGGCUUCUGGGAUAGCCACGCAUAGCCUCUCCCGGGCAGCGGAAUGAAGGCUUCCCCUACUCGGAAGAGGCUGUGCGCGGCUAACCUGCCCUCUGUCCCUUCCCCCACCUCUUCCAAAAGCCAGCCAAGAGCGGCGAACUGUUUAAAGGGAGCACUGCUCUUGUGGGCUUUUGCAGGAGGUGGGGGAAGGGACAGAGCCACGCUCUGUCCCUUCCCCCCAUCUCCCGCAAAAGCCGAGUGCUCUUUAAAAGGAAAACAGGAAGACACAAUGAGAGAUAAAGGAGGUGCUGUGGGAUUGGUGGAAGUCAAUGUCUUCUUGUUGUUUUAGUGUUUAUAAUAUUAACUUGUAAGAUAUGGAUUUGUUUGUUUGUUUUUGUUUUGUUUUUGUUUUUUUGUUUUCAAAUGUUGAUUUUUGUGUGUUGUGUAUUGUUAUUUUUUGAUAUCUUUCGUGUUGUUGUUGUGUGGAAAAUACUAAUAAAAUGCAUUAAAAAAAUAAAAAAAUAAAGGGAGCGUGGCUCUUGGGGGCUUUCUGGGAGGCGGGGGAAGGGACAGAGCUGCGCGCCCUGUCUCUUCCCCCACCUCCUGCAAAAGCCAGGGAUAGUCGCAUGAAGCCAGAAGCUAGAACAGCAAGAGGGAGCACUGCGCAGGGCUCCCUCUCCCUGUUCUGGCUUCUGGGAUAGCCGCGUAGCCUGCAUUUGCUCCAUAAGAUGCACACACAUUUCCCCUUACUUCUUAGUAGGGGAAAAGUGCAUCUUAUAGAGCGAAAAAUAAGGUAUUUUCAAAGGGGCUGUUAUGGAUAAGAGUCUGAUGCUGUGCUAACCAGAGCCAAUAAUCACACCAGGAUGUGGGGGUAUUUUAUUGAGACUGCAGUAAUAUGGUACUGGGAAAUGGAUUCCAAAGCCUAUAUAUCUCAUGGGUGCCCAGGAAAUAUUUUUAUGCAUGAUGCUUAGAUCAAGCCAUCAGGAGGAUAUAUCAUGUUACAUGCUGAUUGGUUACAAAGCAUUUUCGUAGAAUCAAGGUAUUUGCACACUAUUCAGCUUUUCUGCUUGUUUUUCAGAUUCAUGGUAAUACCAUCUAUCUUCUUCUACUGCUUCCUUAUUCUGAAAUCUAAGGGCAGGUUUCUCUCUCCUCUUUCUCACAAAACUGAGAAUAUGGGCAAUUUUUAUUCACCACAGUCAUGGGAUGCUUUUUCAUACCUCACCUGGCUUACCACAUCCUUGCCAUUAUAGCCCCAAAUCAUAUUAUAGCACCACAUAGCUCCAAAGCAAUUAAACAAGUCCCCACAACAUUUCUUAGUAUUUGCCAAUUUGAAUAGAUACAUUUCUUUUUCUGAAUUUGAGGGAAAGGCAUGGGAUGUUUCUGGGACUGAUAGUAUAUAUGUGAGCUAAGGUUCAUACUUUUCUUUUCCCAGAUAUGAAUGACUGUACUAAAUGCUCAGAUGAAAACUAUCCAAACAAGGAACGAGAUAUAUGCAUUCCCAAAGGCAUCAGCUUCUUGUCGUAUGAAGAACCUUUAGGCAUCAGUUUAGCUAUAGUUGCUCUUUCUUUUGCUUUCAUCACAACUCUGGUACUGGGAACAUUUCUGAAGAACCACAAGACUCCCAUUGUCAAAGCCAACAACCAGAAUAUCACCUAUACUCUCCUUGUCACCCUCUUGCUAUGCUUUCUUUGUGCUUUACUGUUCAUUGGCCAACCGAAAAAGAUGACAUGUCUCCUGCAACAAGCUGCUUUUGGCAUCAUCUUUUCAGUGGCUGUUUCCUGUGUACUGGCAAAAACUGUCACUGUGAUUCUGGCUUUCACGGCCACAAAACCAGGAUCCAGGAUGAGAAUGUGGGUGGGGAGAAGGCUGGCCAACUCCAUUGUCAUUUCCUGCUCCCUUAUUCAAGCAGGCAUCUGUACACUGUGGUUGGCAAUCUCUCCCCCAUUCCCAGAUGUUGACAAGCAUUCAAUGCCUGAGGAAAUUAUACUAGAAUGUAAUGUGGGGACUGUGAUUAUGUUUUACUGUGUCCUUAGUUACAUGGGCCUUCUAGCAAUAAUUAGUUUCACAGUGGCUUUCCUUGCCAGGAAAUUGCCAGACAUUUUCAAUGAAGCAAAGUUUAUCACUUUCAGCAUGUUGGUAUUUUGCAGUGUUUGGUUGUCCUUUGUUCCAUCCUACCUGAGUACCAAGGGGAAAUAUACAGUAGCUGUGGAGAUCUUCUCUAUCUUAGCCUCCAGUGCUGGUCUAUUAGGUUGCAUCUUUUCCCCCAAAUGUUAUAUUAUUUUGUUGAGGCCUGAGCUGAAUAUUAGGGAACAGAUAAUAAGCAUUAACAAAAUGAAGAAUUAAAUAUCUGUGUUUUGCUGUAUGCUAUGUAGGGAAAACACCUCACUUUAUUACCAGCUUUUAUUUACACUGCUGAUUCAACUUCUAACCACUACCACCAUAAAUAUGAGGGAUGAAGGCCCUGCCCUUUGAAUAUGUUGAUAGUUACACAGAUGCAUGUGUGAGAGAAAAAUCACUGCUUUAUUAGGGUUGCCAUAUUCCCAAAAGUGAAAAUCCAGACAUAGUUGUUCAGCCC